GAUUAUAAAUCACAAAAUUUUAGAGAUUUGAGGAAUAAAUGCUGCAUUGCGAAAGAAGAAUUGUGCGGCGAUGGAAAGGAGCU
This 83-nucleotide non-coding RNA is filed under the name Aulacoseira subarctica. Lineage: Eukaryota; Bacillariophyta; Melosirophyceae; Melosirales; Aulacoseiraceae. The record is from RNAcentral.